AACGAACGCUGGCGGCAGGCUUAACACAUGCAAGUCGAACGCUCCGCAAGGGGAGUGGCGGACGGGUGAGUAACGCGUGGGAACGUGCCCUAAGGUAUGGAAUAACUUCGGGAAACUGAAGCUAACACCAUAUGUGACCGAGAGGUGAAAGUUUAUCGCCUUAGGAUCGGCCCGCGUCAGAUUAGCUAGUUGGUGGGGUAAUGGCCUACCAAGGCGACGAUCGGUAGCUGUUCUGAGAGGAAGAUCAGCCACACUGGGACUGAGACACGGCCCAGACUCCUACGGGGGGCAGCAGUGGGGAAUCUUGGAAAAUGGGCGCAAGCCUGAUCCAGCCAUGCCGCGUGGAUGAUGAAGGCCCUAGGGUUGUAAAAUCCUUUCGUUGGGGACGAUAAUGACGGUACCCAAGGAAGAAGCUCCGGCUAACUUCGUGCCAGCCGCCGCGGUAA
RNAcentral lists this ribosomal RNA (446 nucleotides) under uncultured bacterium. Its description in RNAcentral is "partial 16S ribosomal RNA". It matches the Rfam family "Bacterial small subunit ribosomal RNA", at positions 29 to 523 of the family's 1533-position model. The record is from RNAcentral.